This 418-nucleotide ribosomal RNA is filed under the name Salmonella enterica. RNAcentral describes it as "bacterial SSU rRNA". It matches the Rfam family "Bacterial small subunit ribosomal RNA", at positions 1104 to 1522 of the family's 1533-position model. The record is from RNAcentral. Lineage: Bacteria; Pseudomonadati; Pseudomonadota; Gammaproteobacteria; Enterobacterales; Enterobacteriaceae. RNAcentral also lists the same sequence under 3 other names.
CUUAUCCUUUGUUGCCAGCGAUUAGGUCGGGAACUCAAAGGAGACUGCCAGUGAUAAACUGGAGGAAGGUGGGGAUGACGUCAAGUCAUCAUGGCCCUUACGACCAGGGCUACACACGUGCUACAAUGGCGCAUACAAAGAGAAGCGACCUCGCGAGAGCAAGCGGACCUCAUAAAGUGCGUCGUAGUCCGGAUUGGAGUCUGCAACUCGACUCCAUGAAGUCGGAAUCGCUAGUAAUCGUGGAUCAGAAUGCCACGGUGAAUACGUUCCCGGGCCUUGUACACACCGCCCGUCACACCAUGGGAGUGGGUUGCAAAAGAAGUAGGUAGCUUAACCUUCGGGAGGGCGCUUACCACUUUGUGAUUCAUGACUGGGGUGAAGUCGUAACAAGGUAACCGUAGGGGAACCUGCGGUUGGA